ACUGUCCACAUUUUUCUCUUAAACAAAUGAAAAUUUAACACAAAUGAAAACGUAGACUGCUAGAUUAUAGAUUAAUGCAUCGAGCCUCGUUCUCAAUUUUUCGUUUAGACGUUUUGUUUGAGAGAAAAGCUUGGACAAAAACUACUAUAGACCCUCUUUAAAGGCUGCGCAGUGCUGAAUACGAAUCGUUAGAACACAUGCUCAGAUGUCAGGAGAUAAUGAAAAAUGUCAAAAAGGACAUCAGAGAGUAUUUGGAGGAAUGGAAAGGUCAAGCAGUGGAUAUAGAAUUAGGAAAGCAGAUCUUGAAGGUGAAGAUUAACUACGGAUGCAGUACAAUAAAGGUGGGCGAGACGACGAAGUGAACGAAGGAAGCAACAAGUGCUAAGUAAGAGUGAUAUAAGCAAUAAAGAUUGGCUGUUAAGUUGUUAUUCAAAUUAAUAGUGAAUUCACACCAAGGGAGGAAAGUAGGACACUCCAACCGGCGUGUGUAAUCGCCUACCCGAGCCGAAGUCGAGGAUGACAAACACGCGGAUUGAGAUAUGUCCUACCCUGAUAGCAAGUUAACUUCAAGUUGCAGCCGUAUUCUGAAGCCAACUUAAAAGCAAAUGUUUGAGAGCAAACAGUUGCGGUUAAGUUGACAGUAGAUUGUCUGUAACUAGAAUUCAAUUUGAGUUCAAAUGUUACCGUCAGAUAAUGACGUUAAGCUGAUUGAAAGUUUCACUUCAAAUUGACAGCAAGUUUUUCUGUCAAAUUACGUUCAGAUGACGGCAGUUGAUUUGCAUCAACUUGCACGCAAGUAUUAUCCAGCCAAGGCUUGCCAGAAACUUGUCGUUAAGUUAGCCGAAAAUGUUUCACUGCAGAACUUGCUGAGCAAGGUGUGGCUAUCAGGGUACUUUCACCCGUGGUGUGAAUACGAUUUUUUAGCAUACCUGCACCUGAAAGUAAGUUUAAAUUUGAGCCUCUGUUUAUGGGAAGAAUGGCGGAUGCGCUAAUUUUUAUCAUUUGUUUCUCUUCAAAGAAAUAAAGAACGACUUUCUUCUCUAUAGGACAGGAAUUUAAACUUUCAGGGGCAGGUAGGCAGAAAAAUAUUAGAUUUUUUUUGUAUUGGUGUGUGAUUAAGAUUUAAUUGUCUUAUAAAUUAUUGCAAGCAGGCAAGAAAGCAAGUUAAAAUAUAAAUAAGAAAAAAAAAUUUUAAACUUGUAUUUUAUACAUUGAAAUAAAGAAUUACAAUUAUUCAAUAAUCUAGAAAUUAAAAAAAAAAUAAAUUUAUCACUAUCAUUUAUUAACUUUUUUACUGUUACAUAUAAAUACAUAUUGUAGAUUUAUAAUAAAAAUAAACUCUUAAUGAUUAAUUAUAAAAAUACAAUUGGGGUAAACUACCCAGCCCUCAGCUCUCUUAAAAAGUGGAUCUCUAAACAUUAUUUUUUAUUAAAAAAUAAAAAUAAGUCGAUUUUGUUAAUAAAUUUAUCCUAGUCAUUAAAAAAAAAUGACUUUUUUAUAAUAUGUGAGAAGGAGACUGGAUACUGAUGAAAUACUUGACUCUAAUUAAUGUAAUCUGAUAACUUUACAUUCCAUUUAUUCAUUACGAAAAAUUUAUACAUUACAUUCACAAUUGCCUAUUGAUAAAUUCAAAAAUUUAAAGCACUUAAUUAUAUUAUAAUAAUAUAUCUUAUAAGUAAUAAUAAGAAAUAUAAUUUUCUUUUAAUGUAAUUUAAGAGUCUUAAAUGAUACGAAAGUUUGCUAAUGGAAAUACAGCCAUGGAAAAAGGAAACUGAGUAAUUUUAUUUAUUUAAUAUUUAAUUUACGAAGCUGUAGUCUAUUAUUACGAAAAUCGACGUGAGUCAUCGCGAACAUAUCCGUCGAAGAACAGAGAGACAUUUUCUUGCAGAUCUCUUUAGUAUCAACGUUCAUUUUCAAUAGGUUGAUAAUACUCUGCUCGUAAACUUCAAGCAGCAUCACACACUGUUAUUUUAAAUAAUUUAAAACAAGUAUUAGUAAUUAGUAAUUAAAAAAUAGUAUAUCGUGUUACCAAAGAUGAAACAAAACGAUUUCAAACCAGGGUGAAGUUGGCUGCCCUACCCAAAUAGCACGUGUUUGAGCAAGAUUCUGAAGUAAGUAUUUUGAGCAAGACCCUUAGCUGCUAGUGUCUUUUUCUACGUAUGUGUCUUUCCCUUCAAGAUCGUGUGUCAAAAAACCUAUGUCAAGAUUUGUGUAUGUCUUGCUCAUGAUAUCGUACACAAGAAUAUUAAAGAUAUCUUGAACACGAAGCAAUGAAAAAGUGUCUGACGCAUUUCUUGCACCAGUAUAACUUACUGUAGGUACUUACGCAUGGCUUGUUCCAGAUCUGCUCAAGGCUUAAGGUUGAUUUUAAGCAUUGAGCAAAUCUUGAGCAAGCCAUGCGCAACUAUUUUUAAUUAUAGUCUUCCUCCAGAAUUGAGUUAUAAUCUGGCACGAAUUUCUUGUGUAAGGCUUGCAAUUUAAAUCUGGUCAAAAGUAUCUGCAGCAAGACACAUACGUAGCAAAAGAUACUAGCACCUAUCGAUCUUGAGAACAGACUUGCUCAAGAACUUACAAAAAUUGUGAUAUGGGUAGGGUUGACAUCACCCGCAGACUAAAAUCGUGUUUCAUCCUGAGUUACACACUAUAUUUUUCAUGAUUGCAUUGGAACAUGAAAUUUCAGUGUCAGCAGCCAGUCAGAAACAAGUUAAUUUAAGACCAAUGAUGUCAUCAACUAUUAGCGUACGCGUAAAUUGCUAUUUGCAAUUUAUAAUUAAGCAGAAACUAUAAACACUAUUUAUUAUUGACACUAACUUUUAUAAAACUUCAUUACAGUCAGAACUGUCAUUUACGUAAAAAAAAAAUGAUGGUCUCAAUUAUUAUUAAACAAAUAACAAAUAUCGGAGUUUAAAUUGCGAAAGCUUUCCGUCAGCGGACAGAAACUUUAUUUGUUUUUUCCCAAGGGACGAAACAAGUUUGUUUUUGCCCACUGACUAAAAGCAUUCACAAUUUAUGCGUUUGCUAAUAUUCAUUGACGACAUUGGACUGAAAUUAGCUUCUUUCGACUGGCGGUAAAGACACUGAAACUUUAAGUUUCGAUGCUGGUAUCAUGAAAAUAUUACAUUUCACACCUGGGAAGGAAAGUAGAAAAUUUCAACCUGCGUGUACAAUUGUCUACCCGAGCCAACACGCGGAUUGGGACUUCCUACUCACCUCCGUGGUGUGUAUAUAAUUUUCCACCAGAUCUGCACCUGAAAAUUUAAUUUUUUGCCUCUGUUUUGUAGAAAGAAUGGCGCAUGUGCUAAUUUUUAUCAGUAGUUUUCUCAUACAAGCAACUAAUGACUUUCUUCCCUCUAAACAGGACAAAAAUUUAAACUUUCGGCGCAGGCAUGGUGAAAAAAUAUUAAUUAAUAAUUAAUAAUAAAAAUAAAUUUAUUUCUCAUUAAAGCAUACCUUGUCGUGUUUACUUGGUGGUAUAUAAUCACAUGCACUGUUAAUUACUUCUUCAAUUCUAUCAUCAACUUUAGGAUUUGUUAGUAAAUUAUCAACGGAUGAAAUAAUCGCUUGACAUAACGCACACUCAGAUACCGAUUCUGUAAUAAUUUAAAUAAUUUAUAAAUUAAUAAGCUAAUUAUCUUAUUAAUUAAAAUGUUAAUAUAUAUAUCUUCUAUUAAUUAUUUUACAAUAUAACAUGCAAACAAAAUAAUUUGCAGUAAAAUAAUUGAUUAAUAUUUUUAUUACACAUUUUAUUAUAAAUACAAUAAACAAUAGACAUUAUAACUUAUAAUUAUUAUUAUUAAUUACUUUAAUUAUUUAAUAUGACAAAAAAUUAAAGUAACUAGACAAAAAAAACUUUCAAAUCUUAUCGACUAAAAAAUUGUUCGAUCAUUUUGUUCUGGAGUUGAAGUAUUUAAAAAUAUUGAGAUUCAAAAUAAUUAAUUUGCUUACUGAAAUAAAAAAAUUAAAAAAAAAAGUAAUAUUUCAUUGAUUUAAUUACCCCUUAUUUGCUGGACUUGAUCUUCGCAUGCAUUAAUAAGAG
Molecule: long non-coding RNA, 4036 nt
Organism: Microplitis mediator
Lineage: Eukaryota; Metazoa; Arthropoda; Insecta; Hymenoptera; Braconidae
Exons: 2
Source: RefSeq, a predicted model, not a curated record